Molecule: non-coding RNA, 98 nt
Organism: Jaminaea rosea
Lineage: Eukaryota; Fungi; Basidiomycota; Exobasidiomycetes; Microstromatales
Source: the annotation of a RefSeq genome assembly
GGCAGCAUGUCCGAGUGGUUAAGGAGUCAGACUUGAAUUUGCUACGCAGUCUCAUCUGAUGCGCUCUGCGCUCAGCGGUUCGAACCCGCUUGCUGUCG